GCUUUGGUAGCUCAGUGGUUAAGGCACCUGACUGGUAAUCCACAGGUGCUGGGUUCAAUCCCAGCUGAGGCA
Molecule: transfer RNA, 72 nt
Filed under: Diaphorina citri (Asian citrus psyllid)
Lineage: Eukaryota; Metazoa; Arthropoda; Insecta; Hemiptera; Psyllidae
Rfam family: tRNA
About the family: Transfer RNA (tRNA) molecules are approximately 80 nucleotides in length. Their secondary structure includes four short double-helical elements and three loops (D, anti-codon, and T loops).
Source: Rfam by way of RNAcentral